CAUGGCUCAGGAUGAACGCCGGCGGCGUGCUUAAUACAUGCAAGUCGAGCGAGAACCGGGGGCUUGCUCCCGGGGGCAGCGGCGAAUGGGUGCGUAACACGUAGGUGACCUGCCCUCAAGCGGGGGAUAACGGGCCGAAAGGACCGCUAAUACCGUAUGUGGUCAUCCGGUCGGACGGAUGACUAAACCCACGGGGCUUGAGGAGGGGCCUGCGGCCCAUCAGCUAGUUGGUAGGGUAACGGCCUACCAAGGCGACGACGGGUAGGGGGCCUGAGAGGGUGGUCCCCCACACUGGCACUGACACACGGGCCAGACUCCUACGGGAGGCAGCAGUAAGGAAUAUUGGGCAAUGGGCGAAAGCCUGACCCAGCAACGCCGCGUGAGCGAUGAAGGCCUUCGGGUCGUAAAGCUCUUUUCCCAGGGACGAGGAAGGACGGUACCUGGGGAAUAAGUCACGGCUAACUACGUGCCAGCAGCCGCGGUAAAACGUAGGUGGCGAGCGUUAUCCGGAUUCACUGGGCGUAAAGCGCACGCAGGCGGCUCGGUAGGUAGGGCAUGAAAUCUCCUGGCUUAACCGGGAGGGGUUGUCCUAAACCGCCGGGCUUGAGGAUGGGAGAGGGAAGUGGAACUGCCGGUGUAGUGGUGAAAUGCGUAGAGAUCGGCAAGAACACCAGUGGCGAAGGCGGCUUCCUGGCCCAUUCCUGACGCUCAGGUGCGAAAGCUAGGGGAGUGAACGGGAUUAGAAACCCCGGUAAUCCUAGCCGUAAACGAUGUGCACUAGGUGUCGGGGGUAUUGACCCCCUCGGUGCCGAAGCUAACGCGUUAAGUGCACCGCCUGGGGACUACGGCCGCAAGGUUAAAACUCAAAG
This 869-nucleotide ribosomal RNA is filed under the name uncultured bacterium. RNAcentral's name for it is "bacterial SSU rRNA". It matches the Rfam family "Bacterial small subunit ribosomal RNA", at positions 18 to 906 of the family's 1533-position model. The record is from RNAcentral.